UGAUAUGUCUGGUAUUCUUGGGUUGUGCCAGAAUGAGAUCAACCGGCGUGCUAGGCAUAUCCU
This 63-nucleotide microRNA precursor is filed under the name Panagrellus redivivus. RNAcentral's name for it is "microRNA prd-mir-50 precursor". Its record names the gene prd-mir-50. Lineage: Eukaryota; Metazoa; Nematoda; Chromadorea; Rhabditida; Panagrolaimidae. The record is from miRBase by way of RNAcentral.